RNAcentral lists this ribosomal RNA (157 nucleotides) under Botryosphaeria dothidea. RNAcentral's name for it is "5.8S ribosomal RNA". It matches the Rfam family "5.8S ribosomal RNA". From Rfam's summary of the family: 5.8S ribosomal RNA (5.8S rRNA) is a component of the large subunit of the eukaryotic ribosome. It is transcribed by RNA polymerase I as part of the 45S precursor that also contains 18S and 28S rRNA. Functionally, it is thought that 5.8S rRNA may be involved in ribosome translocation. Lineage: Eukaryota; Fungi; Ascomycota; Dothideomycetes; Botryosphaeriales; Botryosphaeriaceae. The record is from RNAcentral.
ACUUUCAACAACGGAUCUCUUGGUUCUGGCAUCGAUGAAGAACGCAGCGAAAUGCGAUAAGUAAUGUGAAUUGCAGAAUUCAGUGAAUCAUCGAAUCUUUGAACGCACAUUGCGCCCUUUGGUAUUCCGAAGGGCAUGCCUGUUCGAGCGGCAUUAC